ACAGACUCAUUCCUUUCAUUUUUGUAGUUAUACUUUUAAAACUUCAUGAAGAACAUUUACUACUUUAUAGUAAUCCUGUGUAUAUAUAUACACACACCAUUCUUAUUCCCUAAGCAUCCAAUUUUGACGCUUGUGCAGAAGCCAUCUGUGUCUGCAUGACGUGGUCCUCGUGGUGGCAUAGUGACUCGCUUCAAUCUGGGUGGCCGAGGACUACUCUGAGUUGCCUCUGCGUCUGAGACGUCAAUCUGCGCAUUUUAUCACGUGGCUUGUUGAGCGCAUUACCGCGGAGACCUAGCACAUGUGGAGGCACGCUAUUCUCUGCGGCAUCCAUGCACAACUCACCACACGCCCCACCGAGAGCAAGAACCACAUUAUAGCGACCACGAGGAGGUGACUCUAUCCACCCUAGCAACCGGGCCAAUUGGUUGCUUAGGAAGCGUGACUGGAGUCACUCAGCAUGCCCUGGAUUCGAACUUGAGACUCCAGGCAAGAGCGUAAAAUAAGGAAACGUGUGGAAGAUGCGCUUUAGGGACAUUCACCAAUCACAGGGAGGACUGCUCUUUACUCCCAAAAGUAAUAACGGUAACAGCAAUGCUACACACCAUGUGCGGUACUACACAAUGCGUGGUGCGGGCAAGAGCGCCCUUGGGUGUCAGAGAGGAAGAGGAGACAAGGAUGAGGAGCCAAUAUAUACAGACGAUUUUCAUGCAGGGCAGCAAGUUAUUGACUUUUUUCCUUCUCUCUCUGAUUUACAUUUUUACAGUUCUCUGCAACAGUCAUGCCCCAACUUUGUUACUAACUAUUCCACAAAUAACUUUUUUUGUUUACUUAUUAAUUUAUUUUUUCA
This is a long non-coding RNA of Myxocyprinus asiaticus (Chinese sucker), 847 nucleotides long. RefSeq lists it as uncharacterized. The record is from RefSeq and is a predicted model, not a curated record. NCBI's taxonomy places the organism in Eukaryota, Metazoa, Chordata, Actinopteri, Cypriniformes, Catostomidae. The transcript is spliced from 3 exons.